Molecule: ribosomal RNA, 290 nt
Filed under: uncultured bacterium
Lineage: Bacteria
Description: partial 16S ribosomal RNA
Rfam family: Archaeal small subunit ribosomal RNA
Source: RNAcentral
GUGCCAGCAGCCGCGGUCAUACCGGCAGCACGAGUGAUGGCCGAUAUUAUUGGGCCUAAAGCGUCCGUAGCCGGCCGCGCAAGUCCGUUGGGAAAUCCACUCGCUCAACGAGUGGGCGUCCGACGGAAACUGCACAGCUUGGGACCGGAAGGCUCGAAGGGUACGUUCGGGGUAGGAGUGAAAUCCCAUAAUCCCGCACGGACCACCGAUGGCGAAAGCACUUCGAGAAAACGGAUCCGACAGUGAGGGACGAAAGCCAGGGUCUCCAACCGGAUUAGAAACGGGUAGCC